RNAcentral lists this long non-coding RNA (574 nucleotides) under Helianthus annuus (common sunflower). RNAcentral describes it as "hypothetical non coding rna". Lineage: Eukaryota; Viridiplantae; Streptophyta; Magnoliopsida; Asterales; Asteraceae. The record is from RNAcentral.
UUUGUAUGUUUUCUCCUGAUCGACCAAAACAGAGCAAACAGAGCUCUCCCUCUUAAACCCUAAGUUCAUCAAAUCCUCUAAAAAUCAAAGAAGGAAAUCGAUUUGCAAUCAAUUCCAAGCUAAAUUCGAGAUCAUUAUAGUUAGGAGAUCACAAGGCAAUUUGGGUGAAUCAUCGAGUGGUCAACGCGGAACGGAUAACCGCUUAAAAGGAAACCUUUAAAGGUACGUGGCUAUAUGCUUCGUAGAUCUUGUAACCAACACAAAUAUGCGGGUGAAGAUCAAGCUGAUGAGAGAACCGAACACGCACACGAAUGAAACUUCCGCAAUUAAAUUAUGUCUUAGGUUACUAAAUACUUUGGUGUUGUUUGCAAAAACUUAAGUAGCACUUUAUAGACAUCUUUUGAACGUUUAAACUUUUGUAAAUAUAGUUUGUAUAGUUUGAACUCUAUGUUAAGACGUAACACCGAAGUUUUUUGAAAAUUUGCAUUUUGAUAUAGAAAUGCACAAGAUAUUAUAUAAAAUAUUCAAUGUUUGUAAGGGUCUUACAUCGAGUUUCAUUAUUCAGACUUUGGCC